Molecule: RNA transcript, 5188 nt
Organism: Bacillus rossius redtenbacheri
Lineage: Eukaryota; Metazoa; Arthropoda; Insecta; Phasmatodea; Bacillidae
Gene: kek2
Exons: 11
Source: RefSeq, a predicted model, not a curated record
UUUUGUAAAUGAUACUGAAAUAUUUACGUGUGAUAAUUUCCGUUAAAAUACCGGCCAUGUCUACUGGCGCAGUGUCGAUCCGAGAUGGCAAAACCAAAACUCAUUUCCUCAACAAUCGCACCGACCCGCCAACUUUACUCACCCAGGUACCCCCGGACUACCUGGAUGGACACUCCAAAUUCUAAGUCUUAGGUGCAUACACCAGCAUCUCAAAGGGCUUAGUCCUAAACACUGAUGACAAUUAUUUUACAGCAAGCGAUGAGGAGAACAGAGGAAGGACGAUGAACGAUGACAGGGAUGGGGAAAGGGGAGGAGGAGGAAGACUCCACCACUCCAUCAGCACGUUCGCCACGAUUGAGCUACCAAUGGAUCUAUGCCGAGCAGAAUUCGUCUUCAGAUUGAGGGACAGAAUCAUCGUGUUCUGCCAUAAUAGGAAAUGAACGUGACGUCAGCAAUGCGGGCUGAUUAUUGGAAACUCCCAAGUUACCGAAGAAAUAAGAAGAGGUCGGUCGUGUUCGCUGAUAUCUCUUCAUUUCUUGGUCGGUUGUGUAGCAGAAGCUCUCUGUUAAGUAUAUACUGUCAUACUCCAACCGCCAGUGCUGCAAAAAUCAACAACCACAUUGACAAAAAUCCUUGAAAAUGUAUUUUAAUAACAACAAGCAUCAACAUCUCUUAAGCAGUUCCUUUAUAGUUUAUUUGGAGCUGAUCUAAAACACUUUAAGCUAGGAAAUGAAAAAUUAACGAAAAAAUAAGUCUUUAUAUUGUCCUGCAUAAACUGAUUUAAUUAUCGUGUGAAAUAAUUUUGAAGUAGAUAUGUGUUAAACACUAAAGAUAAUCGGAAAUUAUAUUGCUUUUAAAUAAUAUAUUUUAAUAAUUUUGACUUUUUCAAUAACGACUGAAAACGUGUAAAUAGAAUCUUCCUGAAAAUGAAAUCAGUUUUUCAAUACUUGCUAAAGACAGCUUUUAUGAGAGAUGCAUUCGAGAAUGGUGAAACAUUUUUAUAAAGUGUUCAUUUUUUUAUAUUUUGUACAGUGUAGCGUUCUUAAUGAGGUAAAACCACGUAAAUGGAAGUUAUUAAUUUGACGUUAUUAUACUUGCAAGAAAAUUUGCAAGUAGAAAACUCGACUAAGACUUAAAAAGGAUGUGCGAUAAUAUAACAUACAAUGAGUAUGUAAAUUUUUAGUGCUGUUUUCCUGAAUCCCUGAGGAAAUGGACUUUUAAAUGUUCGUAGAUAAUAUGAAAAAAACACUUCGGAAUUUGUAAAUAAAUGCCGAGAUGAAACAGUUGUCGGAGCGCGUGCUGAUUGUUCAAGAGUCGGCGUUGCAGUAAACUCUGGUCCGAUGAUGUCCGCGACGCAUCGGAAGGCGCUCUUGGCAUUCCUCCUCCUGCAGCAGUGCGUCUUCUGGCGCCUGACGGUCCUCGCUUGUCCGUCCUCGUGCCGGUGCAAGUGGAAGGGAGGCAAGCAGACGGUGGAGUGCAUCGACGAGGGUCUGACCACCAUCCCGGAGGGCAUGGACCACGGCACCCAGGUCCUCGACUUCUCGGGGAACAACCUCCAGAUGCUGCCGCGGGAGCGCUUCCAGAGGAUGUCCCUGCUGAACCUUCAGAAGAUCUACCUGACGCGCUGCCGGCUCAGCCACAUCGACCCGCACGCCUUCCGCGGGCUCACCAACCUGGUGGAGCUGGACCUGUCGGAGAACCUUCUGGUCGGCGUCCCCAGCGACACCUUCGCCGAGUACCCGUCCCUCAUGAGGCUCGCCGUCAGCGGCAACCCCAUCCGGGCCAUCAGGUCCGGGUCUUUCGGGCACCUGUCGUCGCUCACCACCCUCGAGCUGAGCGACUGCGAGGUGGAGACCAUCGAGGAGGACGCGUUCGCCGGGUUGGACAGCCUGGAGUGGCUCAAGCUGGACGGGAACCGCCUGACCGGGGUCCGGGGAGCGCGCGUGCUUCCCGAGUCCCUGCACGGGAUCCACCUGCACAACAACCCCUGGCAGUGCGACUGCCGGCUGCUGGACCUCAGGUCGUGGCUGCUCAGCUACCACGUGCCGCAGGCUGUCGAGCCCAAGUGCGUGGCCCCGGCGAGGCUGGCGGGAGUCGCCAUAAAGACCCUGCAGGAGAACGACCUGGCCUGCCUUCCGGACGUCACUCCGACGACCCUCUACCUGGAGAUCAGCGAGGGGAAGAACGUCUCCCUGCUGUGCCGUGUUUCGGCCAUACCGGAGGCAACCGUAUCGUGGUGGUUCCAAGGGCGCGUUCUUCAGAACGACUCCAUCGUGGCCCCAGGUCUCCACCUCUACUACUUUGUCGAAGAAGGCGUCGAGGAGAAGAAGAGCGAAUUGUUCAUUUUCAACACGAACACCGAGGAUAACGGAACUUUCGUCUGCGUCGCUGAAAACCCUGCAGGAAAGUCGCACUCGAACUACACCAUUCGGAUAGUGGUGAAAGAGGAGCCUGUCAUCGGUCCCGUGGUUUUUCCUUUCGAGUACAUGAUAACGAUCAUUGCAGCGACGACUGUUCUGGGCGCGUUUGUCCUCAUCACAAUCGCAAUAUGCAUAUUCAAAUGCCACAGGCAAAGACGACAGAGGAGGAAGAAAGAGCACAGCAAAGUUAUCGCUCUGCAGCAUCAGCAGCAACAGCAUGGCAAGUCCAUCGGUGUGGAUGUAAGUGGCAACCCGAUAACGAUGGUGGGAGGUGAGAUGUCUAGUCCGCCAAAAGUAAACGGGAUUGUCGUUAUGGGGGAAAGAUACCAAAGCCAGAUAAUCAUGGUAUCGGAUGGUAGUGGAUGUGGGGGAAUACCAGUAAUAAGAGCAAGUGAAGUACCGUACGGUAGCCCACAGUCUUUGAGGAAUUACCAUUUGGAGCAGAAUCCCGAUCUGAUCAAUGACGCCGAAAGUGGAGGGAAGGAUCGCAGGAAAACAAACUCAGCUAGCGACGAUGCCGAAGACGGCGAGCGAGAAAACAGCAACCCCAACAGCUACCAAGAAGCCAUGGAGAACAUCAUAGACGACUACGAGACCAAGAACGUCGGGAGAGAGAGCCCCCAGCAGUAUCCGAUGCACAUGUCCACGUUGCCGAGGGGUUCGUCCGCUCGCCGGGACCCGUCCUACCAGCGCCACCACACCGCGGACGUCCAUCUUUCCCCGGGGAGGUUCCUGGACGGCGACGGCUACCCCGUAGACUACGGCCUCCCGAAGGUCCCGUCUCUGGUGCCUCUGCCCGCGCCGGCACCUGCCGCUUUCUACCGGACUCUUCCCCACCACCGCCCGUCGAGGCUCGAGAGCGCUGCCACCCCCUGCAGCCGGUACAUGAGGGAGACGGAGUUCCUCUCCAGGACGAACCAGUUGCAACCCGAUCCCUACCAGCACUACACCCCUCCGGACGUAAGGUACACGGUCGAGGGAUACCCUUGCUCCCUUCCUCCGCAGCAGCAGCCACCGGCGUCCGGAGUCUACUCCCUCGAGCCGCACGGGUCUUUCCCCGACGCCUCGUGUCUGCCGUCCCCUCCCGCCGCGUACAAGAGCGAGGGUGCGGUCCCGUCUUCGGCCAGCGUGUCGACCUGCACCAGUCCCCCGAGGGACCAGGCCAACCCUUCUUGGCCGAAGAACUUGAGCGCGCCCGCCCGAAAUUGUUCGGGGUCGGGCAGGAGGACCUCCUCAUCGCAGGAGACCCUGUCGACGGCGGGCUUCAGCAGCAGCACCAGCGGGGUCAGCCUGCCGUCGACGGCGAGGGUCGGCGAAGCGGAGACCCCCUUGUCCCCGGAGGCCCCCGGGUCCCUGAGGACUGCCGCCGGCGCGGGGAAGAUGUCCGGGUCGGCCAGCCAGAGCUCCCUCCAGGCGGCGCUGACCGAGUCCCCCGACGAAGGCUACGAGGGCGAGGCCCUGGAGAUUUGACGUCACGUCAGGGAAGGCUACAGGCACGUGGCGGAGGAACUGCGCUGGAAGUUCUCCGACGACGCCAGGGACCCGGACGGGUCCACUCUGGGCACGUCCACUUGAAGAGGACCUGGAACAGUGUCCAGCCGAUGGAAAAUUGGAGGAUACAAUGUUUUUUGUUGGAAUAAACAACUACCACCAAAUACUGAAAUAGAACAAAGGGGACAAACCUGCUACCUUGGAGGAGACUAGUCAUUUCGAUGGAGUUGAAAAGAGACCUAUACUGUGGGAUAUGGAAUGCUCGGAGCACAUUUGAAGAAGUCAUGUUGGGUGUAGAGGUGGUUGAGAUAUUUGGAAGUGCAGACUCUAAAGAAAAAAAAAAAUGAUGCCGUGGCUGGUACUUAAGACUAAAAGUUGCUCCUAGAAAACCACCUUUCAGUCAGGUCACCUGGAACAACAGUUAUGGCUGAAACGAUUAAGUUCUGAACAGCGAAGACUUUCCCGUGGGAUACAAUGAUGAAGACGUCUCUGUCCACCUGAAGACGCGCUGAAGGAAGGAGGAAGGCGGUCGAAUGGGCCACCGACUACAACUGUCACGUGUGCCACUUCGUGUGUCUGCGGUCGAGUGGGGCAAAGCCAGCCCUACCGCGAUCUCUGGAUCCAGCCUGGAAAUAGGAUUCCCUGCAAGAUUACCGCCAAAACUCCAGAUGGGGGUUUUUGAAAAACUGCACUCACUGCAAGCUGAAGACCAGGUUCACGCCGGACAGUCCGACCAUGGGCAGCAGGCAGUAUCCCAGCACGGACACCACGGCGCCCAAGGUCACGCCCGACACGGCCAUCAAGCUCAGGAGGGCGUACACCGCCAGGCAGCCCAGCACCCCGAUGCCGUAGAUGUACCCGAAGUGCACCUUGCCCGACUACAACAAAACAAAAAAUUAAUAUCUCGAAUUUUUUUCUCAUUUUGUUUUUAGCAGGUUACAAUAUUGUAAUUAAAUGAAUUUUUUUUUUGCAUUUCCAUUGUUUCGAACAAAUUUUUUUUUUUUUAAGUUUAGAAAAAGACCAUUUCACUAUAAUUUUGUUAUUAGCUUAUUGUAUUUUCAUUUGUUUAUCAGAGAGAUUCGAUGUAAAUGUUUUAUCAUGUUGUACUUAACAAGAUCCUUUAAAUACACAAUACAAUAAAAAAAUUAAAUGAAAUGUACCUUAAGGUUAUGUAAUGAAUGAAUGAAUGAAUGAAUGAAUGAAAUGAUGUGAAAUGUCAGUGAACAGAAUAAAAAACGAAUUGUAAUGUAAUAAAGUUUGAAUUGUAACCAAAUAAA